UGACGCGGAUUCUCGUGGAUCUCAGCGCUGGCUACGCCGCGCGCGCACUCCGCGAGUGUGAGUGUGAAUGUGUGUGUGUGUGUGUGUGUGUGUGUGUGUGUGUGUGUGUGUGACCGACUGAGAUCGAAGGUCUGAGAUCUUCCACAAGAAAAUGACGUUGGAACUGAGAGUUGCUAAGCAGAACUGAGUGAAGCAAAGAGGGUUUCUUGGACAGGAAAGCAUGUGCAAAGGUCCUGGGUCAAGAGACCAUGCAUGUCCUACGAGGGUCACACACACAGAAAUAAUCCGUGUCCAUGGAGCACAGAGAAUGCGAGGGGAAGCCAUUGAAGUCGGAGAGGGCUCCAAGCGCCGACAGCUCUUGGCCACACUACGGGCCCUCGAGGCAGCAUCUCUUUCCCAACAGCUCCCCAGCCUACCUGGCAGUGACUCUGAGGAGGAGGAAGUGGUGGAAAGGAAAAAGAAACGCCCCAAAAAGGCCUCAUUGGCCAGUGUUUCUACUGCAGUAGAGGAGAAAAGGAAGAAGCAGCAUCAAAAACAAGGCCUACCUGGCAGUGACUCUGAGGAAAAGGAAGUAAAGAAGAAGAAGUGCCGCAAAAGGGCUCUUGAAAGUGAUUCUGCUGCAGAAGAAAAAAGAAAGGGGAAAUGCCAGAAACAGGCGCCUUCAAACCCUGCCCAGCACCUGGACAGUGUUGACCCAACAGGUCCCAAAGCUUGGAAGAGUAGUGCUACAGGUGACCCAUCCAAGCCAAGCUCUGUGGCCACUUCCCCCCAAACUCCCCAUGCCUUGAGUCGCAAGCAGUGGCGGAACCGGCAGAAGAACAAGCGUAGACACAAGAACAAGUUUCGGCCACCUCAGCCGCCAGACCCAGCCAAAGUCGCAGCCCCCACAGAGGAGACAGAGGUGCCUCCUGCCCCCACUCAAGAUGACCAUGAGGCUCGGGCAGGAGCUCUGCGGGCCCGCAUGGCACAGCGGCUGGAUGGUGCUCGAUUUCGCUACCUCAAUGAACAGCUGUACUCAGGGCCCAGCAGUGCUGCACAACGCCUCUUCCAGGAAGACCCCGAGGCCUUCCUCCUCUACCACCGCGGCUUCCAGAGCCAAGUCAAGAAGUGGCCGCUACAGCCAGUGGACCGCAUCGCCAGGGAUCUUCGCCAGCGGCCUGCGUCCCUGGUGGUAGCUGACUUUGGCUGCGGGGACUGCCGCCUGGCUUCAAGUAUCCGGAACCCGGUGCACUGCUUUGACUUGGCCUCUCUGGACCCCAGGGUCACUGUAUGUGACAUGGCCCAGGUGCCUCUGAAGGAUGAGUGUGUAGAUGUGGCUGUGUUCUGCCUUUCGCUGAUGGGAACCAACAUCAGGGACUUCCUAGAGGAGGCAAAUCGAGUGCUGAAGCCCGGGGGUCUCCUGAAAGUGGCUGAAGUUAGCAGCCGCUUUGAAGAUGUUCGGGCCUUUUUGGGAGCCGUGACCAAACUGGGCUUCAAGAUCAUCUCCAAGGACCUGACCAACAGCCACUUCUUCUUGUUUGAUUUUGAAAAGACUGGGCCCCCUCGAGUGGGGCCCAAGGCUCAACUCUCAGGCCUGAAGCUUCAGCCAUGUCUCUAUAAGCGCAGGUGACCUCUGAACCCCUCUUUGAAGGGGAAGGCAAGUCUUGAACUCCGUUGUCAGAACUCCGAAGACUAUAACCAGCCAGGCUGUGACCCAGGACCGGUACCACCCUUCCUCUAUCCCAUGAACGAAGUGUGAUGAAACCCCUGGUUCAGCCCCGCUCUGCUAAAGGAUUCUUGGUUGCAAGAAGCAUAAAAUCACUCAGGCUGGCUAAAGAAUAAGGAGUUUAUGAUCUUCACAUCAACAUCACCUUCUGUGGAAGAAACUGGCUAGGUGCUCACCAGAAUGUCCUUUCCCUGGACAGUUAAACGCCAUUUCCCUGCGCCUCGCAUCAAGGUGGGGCAGUGUGAGUGGGCCUCGUCAAUGGAAGGGAAGUAGAGAUGUUUCACUACCAGACCAAGGCAGUUAAAGAGCAGAUGAGCCCUCUCUGUAUUGUACCACCCCCUCCUCCACCUUCCAGGGUGACCUUGUAGCACAUGUUUGAAGGUGAUUGAGUAACAGCAUAGAAGAGGUUGGGAUACCUGAGUCACUCUUUGGGAGGAAAGCUGCUUGCCUAAGAACAUCCACAUUGAACUUUGAACAGAGUAAACCUCUACUGCAAUAAAUUAAUGAAUUUUGGGAGAUUUAGGGCAGUUAGCACUGGCUAAUAGAUCUUCUCUGGUCAUCCUAUCCACCUUUCUCUUAAUCACAGAACACUUUUGUUUCCUUUGGGUGCUUCAAACAUGUAAUUACCUUAGCAAAUACUGGUCAGUACUUUCCACCUGUGCCAUUAAUUUUAAUCUUAAUUGGGGGGGAGGGGCUGGGAGUGUUCACAUCAGGAAGUUGAGAUGCUUAUUUUACCAGUUACAUUUUGAUUGUGACAAGAAAGAAAAAAAAGCCACUAAAGAAUGUCUUACACUAGAAUUUCCUUCCUAUAUCAGUAGGAACCUGAAGGUUAGUGUCUGUGGGCAAUUGGUUCUGGAACUUCAGGAUGUUAGCGAUUAGGUCUCUGUCGUUCUCUAGGCCUUUUGCUUCUCAUAUUCACAAGAUGGUAUGUUUUUGAUUAAGUGGGGACACCCAGCUUACUAUUUACUAAUACACCUCUUGGGAAUCUCACUGAUUGCCUCAGUCUUUUUGGCCUUCAAGGCUCCUUCUACAUCAGUCGCGACCCUUUAAUACAGUUCCUCAUGUUGUGGUGACCCCCCCCAAUUCCAUUGUUACAAAUUGAACAUAAUUAAAGCAUAGUGAUUAAUCACAAAAACAAUAUGUAAUUAUAUAUGUGUUUUCUGAUGGUCUUAGGCGACCCCUGUGAAAAGGUCCUUCGACCCCAAAGGGGUCGCAACCCACAGGUUGAGAAUCGCUGUUCUACAUUGUUAAUACUCUGGUGUAAGUAUGUUCCAUUAUUCCCUAUAACAGGGGUCCUCAAACUAUGGCCUGCGGGCCACAUGCAAAUACAAAUAUUGUAUUUGUUCCUGUUUUGUUUCUUUACUUCAAAAUAAGAUAUGUGCAGUGUGCAUACGAAUUUGUUCAUAGUUUUUUUUUAAACUAUAGUCCGGUCCUCCAACAGUCUGAGGGACAGUGAACUGGCCCCCUGUUUAAAAAGUUUGAGGACCCCUGCCCUAUAACAUGGCUGAGACAAAGGUCAAGUUCCAUUCCCUGUCAGGGCACAUGCCUGGGUUUCGGGCUCAAUCCCCAGUAGGGGGCAUGCAGGAGGCAGCUGAUCAAUGAUUAUUUCUCAUCAUUGAUGUUUCUAUCUCUCUCCCUCUCCCUUUUUCUCUGAAAUUAAAAAAGAAAAGAAAAAAACAGGAGAUCUAUGGUUAGGCAACAAGAUUUAAACUUGACAUCAGAAGCAUGAUCUAUAUAAUAAAAGCCUAAUAUGUCCCCUCAACCGGGUGUUCAACAAGGGGAGCGGGGCCAGCCAACCACCCACAGCCCCUCCCCUCAGCUGACCCCACCCCUGAUUGAGAUGGGGGGGAGGUGAUUGGGAGCAGGGCCAGCUGGCCAACCUCCUUCUUCCCAUCCCCCUGGCCAGUCCUGCUCGAUAGACCCUGAUCAGGGCAGGCCGGCCAGACCCUACCUGUACACAAAUUCAUGCACCAGGCCUCUAGUGAUCUAUAAAAGAAAACGAAUAAAUUGGACUGCAUCAAAAUGAAAAACCUUUGCUCUAUAAAAGACCCUGUUAAGAGGAAGCUGCAGAAAUAAAUUAGUUUCAGGUGAGCCACAGUGUGCUAAUCAAUGACAUUUUUGGUCUUUGAAUUAUUAGUGCAUAUAGUGUACAGAGUCGGGCACAAAUUUCCUCAUCAGUUUAGAUAUGCAAAUAAAAUUCAGCUCCUUUCUCAAUUA
RNA transcript from Myotis myotis, 3922 nucleotides. It is a transcript of the gene named ribosomal RNA processing 8, with no coding region annotated. The transcript is spliced from 8 exons. Lineage: Eukaryota; Metazoa; Chordata; Mammalia; Chiroptera; Vespertilionidae. The record is from RefSeq and is a predicted model, not a curated record.